CUGGCGGCGUGCUUAACACAUGCAAGUCGAACGGACGAUGAAGAGCUUGCUUUUCAAAGUUAGUGGCGGACGGGUGAGUAACGCGUGGGUAACCUGCCUCAUACAGGGGGAUAGCAGCUGGAAACGGCUGAUAAAACCGCAUAAGCGCACAGCAUCGCAUGAUGCAGUGUGAAAAACUCCGGUGGUAUGAGAUGGACCCGCGUCUGAUUAGCUGGUUGGUGAGGUAACGGCCCACCAAGGCGACGAUCAGUAGCCGGCCUGAGAGGGUGACCGGCCACAUUGGGACUGAGACACGGCCCAAACUCCUACGGGAGGCAGCAGUGGGGAAUAUUGCACAAUGGGGGAAACCCUGAUGCAGCGACACCGCGUGAGCGAAGAAGUAUUUCGGUAUGUAAAGCUCUAUCAGCAGGGAAGAAGAAAUGACGGUACCUGACUAAGAAGCACCGGCUAAAUACGUGCCAGCAGCCGCGGUAAUACGUAUGGUGCAAGCGUUAUCCGGAUUUACUGGGUGUAAAGGGAGCGUAGACGGAGUGGCAAGUCUGAUGUGAAAACCCGGGGCUCAACCCCGGGACUGCAUUGGAAACUGUCAAUCUAGAGUACCGGAGAGGUAAGCGGAAUUCCUAGUGUAGCGGUGAAAUGCGUAGAUAUUAGGAGGAACACCAGUGGCGAAGGCGGCUUACUGGACGGUAACUGACGUUGAGGCUCGAAAGCGUGGGGAGCAAACAGGAUUAGAUACCCCUGGUAGUCCACGCCGUAAACGAUGACUACUAGGUGUCGGGCAGCAAAGCUGUUCGGUGCCGCAGCAAACGCAAUAAGUAGUCCACCUGGGGAGUACGUUCGCAAGAAUGAAACUCAAAGGAAUUGACGGGGACCCGCACAAGCGGUGGAGCAUGUGGUUUAAUUCGAAGCAACGCGAAGAACCUUACCUGCUCUUGACAUCUCCCUGACCGGCAAGUAAUGUUGCCUUUCCUUCGGGACAGGGAUGACAGGUGGUGCAUGGUUGUCGUCAGCUCGUGUCGUGAGAUGUUGGGUUAAGUCCCGCAACGAGCGCAACCCCUAUCUUUAGUAGCCAGCGGUUCGGCCGGGCACUCUAGAGAGACUGCCAGGGAUAACCUGGAGGAAGGUGGGGAUGACGUCAAAUCAUCAUGCCCCUUAUGAGCAGGGCUACACACGUGCUACAAUGGCGUAAACAAAGGGAGGCAGAACCGCGAGGUCGAGCAAAUCCCAAAAAUAACGUCUCAGUUCGGAUUGUAGUCUGCAACUCGACUACAUGAAGCUGGAAUCGCUAGUAAUCGCGAAUCAGAAUGUCGCGGUGAAUACGUUCCCGGGUCUUGUACACACCGCCCGUCACACCAUGGGAGUCAGUAACGCCCGAAGUCAGUGACCCAACCGUAAGGAGGGAGCUGCCGAAGGUGGGACCGAUAACUGGGGUGAAGU
Molecule: ribosomal RNA, 1437 nt
Filed under: uncultured organism
Description: 16S ribosomal RNA
Rfam family: Bacterial small subunit ribosomal RNA
Source: RNAcentral